AAGCGCAACUCACGCCAAAAUGCAACCUCGUGCCCCUAGCUCUCCCAUUCAAGGGCCAUUUGACUGAAAACGAAAAUACGCUAAAUCUUAAAAGGGGCGCUUCCGUCCUAAAUUAGCUUUUAAACGAAAGUUUGAUUCGGGUACAU
This is a long non-coding RNA of Etheostoma spectabile (orangethroat darter), 146 nucleotides long. RefSeq lists it as uncharacterized. The record is from RefSeq and is a predicted model, not a curated record. Lineage: Eukaryota; Metazoa; Chordata; Actinopteri; Perciformes; Percidae. The transcript is spliced from 2 exons.